AGGGCACCACCAGGAGUGGAGCCUGCGGCUUAAUUUGACUCAACACGGGAAAACUUACCUGGUCCUGACACUAGAAGGAUUGACAGAUUGAUAGCUCUUUCUUGAUUUGGUGGAUGGUGGUGCAUGGCCGUUCUUAGUUGGUGGAGUGAUUUGUCUGGUUAAUUCCGAUAACGAACGAGACUCUAGCCUAUUAAAUAACACGCAGAAUCUUGUCUUCUGCGGUGUUUCUUAAUGGGAUCAAGUGUGUUUAACGCUUUGAAACAGAGCAAUAACAGGUCUGUGAUGCCCUUAGAUGUUCGGGGCUGCACGCGCGCUACAUUGAAAGACAAAAUGAGCCUUCUAGUUUUUAAUAAAGCUAGUGAUCUUUGAAUGUUUUUCUUAAUGGGGAUAGGGGAUUGCAAUUGUGCCCCUUGAACGAGGAAUUCCCAGUAAGUGCUAAUCAUUAGUUAGUACUGAUUACGUCCCUGCCCUUUGUACACACCGCCCGUCGCUACUACCGAUUGAAUGGUUUAGUGAGAU
RNAcentral lists this ribosomal RNA (519 nucleotides) under uncultured eukaryote. RNAcentral's name for it is "SSU rRNA". It matches the Rfam family "Eukaryotic small subunit ribosomal RNA", at positions 1161 to 1707 of the family's 1831-position model. The record is from RNAcentral.